CCAGUAACUUCAUUUUAAUUGAAAAUCACAUACCUAUAUGUCCUUGGAUAAUGCAAACAAACUGUAUCAAAAACGAAAGGGAAACCUCAUCCCGACAAGGUCGAAGGCCGGUUCAUUUAGACCGGAUGGGGGGAGAGGCCUUACAGCGCCCUAAUGUGCCCCCACAGCCAUGUCAGGAACAGGAGGAGAACCUCGUCCUGACAUGAGCAAGGUCGAAGGCUCGGUUCCAUUUAGACCGGAUAGGGGGAGAGGCCCUACAAUGCCCAUAUGCGCCCCCACAGCCCUGUUAGGGACAGGAGGAGAACCUCGCCCUAACUUGAGCA
RNAcentral lists this long non-coding RNA (323 nucleotides) under Elaeis guineensis (African oil palm). Its description in RNAcentral is "long non-coding RNA (EGUI_LNC078287)". Lineage: Eukaryota; Viridiplantae; Streptophyta; Magnoliopsida; Arecales; Arecaceae. The record is from RNAcentral.